Molecule: transfer RNA, 64 nt
Filed under: Choreutis emplecta
Lineage: Eukaryota; Metazoa; Arthropoda; Insecta; Lepidoptera; Choreutidae
Description: tRNA-His
Source: RNAcentral
AUUUAAAUAAUUUAUAUAAAAUAUUGAUUUGUGGAGUCAAAAAUGUGAGAUUUCACUUUAAAUU